RNAcentral lists this ribosomal RNA (581 nucleotides) under uncultured Glomus. Its description in RNAcentral is "eukaryotic LSU rRNA". It matches the Rfam family "Eukaryotic large subunit ribosomal RNA", at positions 204 to 637 of the family's 3401-position model. The record is from RNAcentral. Lineage: Eukaryota; Fungi; Glomeromycota; Glomeromycetes; Glomerales; Glomeraceae.
CAUGGAGGGUGAGAAUCCCGUCCGGUUGAUCAUUUGCGUUUUACGAUACGCUUUCUAAGAGUCAAGUUGUUUGGGAUUGCAGCUUAAAAUGGGAGGUAAAUUUCUCCUAAGGCUAAAUAACGGCGAGAGACCGAUAGCGAACAAGUACCGUGAGGGAAAGAUGAAAAGAACUUUGAAAAGAGAGUUAAACAGUACGUGAAAUUGUUGAAAGGGAAACGAUUGAAGCCAGUCGUACCUUCGGGUAAUCAGCCUUUCGGGUGCGAUUCUGUGGAGUGUGAGGAGCUUAACACCUUCAUGCUUUGCAUAUUUGUGCUCUUGGGUGUACUUGCCCGUGUGGUUGGUUAACAUCAAUUUUGGUUAUCAUAAAAUGAUUGGAGGAAUGUAGCUUCGAUCUCGUAUUGAAGUGUUAUAGCCUUCGGUAGAUGUGAUGAUCGAGAUUGAGGAUUGCAACGGAUACCCUUCGGGGCUACCUGUCUGGUCUCUGAUCGUUGCUCUGGUGCCGAAAGCUUGCUUACGGUUAUCAAAGUCGAUGGUCAAUAGGUUAGAACGGGUUAAAUUCGUUAAGGAUGUUGACGUAAUGG